ACAUCCAGAGAAUUUAGCAGAGAUGCUUUAGUGCCUUCGGGAACUCUGAGACAGGUGCUGCAUGGCUGUCGUCAGCUCGUGUUGUGAAAUGUUGGGUUAAGUCCCGNAACGAGCGCAACCCUUAUCCUUUGUUGCCAGCACGUAAUGGUGGGAACUCAAAGGAGACUGCCGGUGAUAAACCGGAGGAAGGUGGGGAUGACGUCAAGUCAUCAUGGCCCUUACGAGUAGGGCUACACACGUGCUACAAUGGCGCAUACAAAGAGAAGCGACCUCGCGAGAGCAAGCGGACCUCAUAAAGUGCGUCGUAGUCCGGAUUGGAAUCUGCAACUCGACUCCAUGAAGUCGGAAUCGCUAGUAAUCGUAAAUCAGAAUGUUACGGUGAAUACGUUCCCGGGCCUUGUACACACCGCCCGUCACACCAUGGGAGUGGGUUGCAAAAGAAGUAGAUAGCUUAACCUUCGGGAGGGCGUUUACCACUUUGUGAUUCAUGACUGGGGUGAAGUCGUAACAAGGUAAGCGUAGUGCU
RNAcentral lists this ribosomal RNA (526 nucleotides) under uncultured bacterium. RNAcentral's name for it is "bacterial SSU rRNA". It matches the Rfam family "Bacterial small subunit ribosomal RNA", at positions 984 to 1509 of the family's 1533-position model. The record is from RNAcentral.